UGUUAGGGAUAGUAGUGGAAAUCCUUUUUUGAGGCUUUUUCUGCCUCAAAAAAGAUUAUUUCACAAUAUUAUAUUUC
Molecule: small RNA, 77 nt
Filed under: Flavobacterium branchiophilum
Lineage: Bacteria; Pseudomonadati; Bacteroidota; Flavobacteriia; Flavobacteriales; Flavobacteriaceae
Description: Flavo-1 RNA
Source: RNAcentral